AAUCAACGCUGGCGGCGUGCCUAACACAUGCAAGUCGAACGAGAAAGUGGAGCAAUCCACAAGUAAAGUGGCGCACGGGUGAGUAACACGUGACUAACCUACCCUUGAGUGGGGGAUAACCUAGGGAAACCUGGGCUAAUACCGCAUAAUACCUAUGGGUCAAAGGAGCAAUUCGCUUUUGGAGGGGGUCGCGGCAGAUUAGUUAGUUGGCAGGGUAAUGGCCUACCAAGACGAUGACUGUAUCCGGCCUGAGAGGGCGCACGGACACACUGGAACUGAAACACGGUCCAGACUCCUACGGGAGGCAGCAGUGGGGAAGUUUUGCGCAAUGGGGGAAACCCUGACGCAGCAACGCCGCGUGGAGGAUGAAGACCCUUGGGUCGUAAACU
This 389-nucleotide ribosomal RNA is filed under the name uncultured bacterium. RNAcentral describes it as "bacterial SSU rRNA". It matches the Rfam family "Bacterial small subunit ribosomal RNA", at positions 32 to 431 of the family's 1533-position model. The record is from RNAcentral.